AGGGCGUAUGGUGGAUGCCUUGGCAGACAGUACCGAUGAAGGACGCUUGAGGAUGCGAUAAGCCUCGGGGAGCCUCCAACAUGGCUUCGAUCCGAGGAUUUCCGAAUGGGGCAACCCGCCGGCCGUCAUGGGCCGGCACGGAACCUUGUUGUUCCGGGGGUACGCAGGGAAGUGAAACAUCUCAGUACCUGCAGGAAGGGAUACUCCGUGAGUAGUGGCGAGCGAAAGCGGAUCAGACCAAACCAUGGGCGCGUGAUACCCGUCGGGGGUUGCGUUCGUGGUGUUGAGGGAGCGUGUGUCCCGGUUCCGACGGACCGGGCGGGAGUCAUAAAACGGCUUGCCAGGGGAACAGGCUUGAAGGCCUGGCCGCAGAGGGUGCCAGCCCCGUACCUGGAAGCUUGCCGUCUUCCGAUCAUGUGUCCCAAGUAGCGCGGGCCUCGUGGAAUCCCGUGUGAAUCGGCCCCGACCGUGGGGUAAGUCUAAGCAUACCUGUCUGACCGAUAGCGUACCAGUACCGUGAGGGAAAGGUGAAAAGCACCCCGGGAGGGGAGUGAAAGAGUUCCUGAAACCGUGCGCCUACAAUCCGUCGGAGCCUCCUUGUGGGGUGACGGCGUGCCUAUCGAAAAAUGAGUCUGCGAGUCAGUGGUGCGUGGCGAGGCUAACCCGUGGUGGGGGAGCCGUAGCGAAGGCGAGUCUCAAAAGGCGUUUUGAGUCGCGCGCCCUGGACCCGAAGCGGGAUGAUCUAGCCCUGGGCAGGUUGAAGCGCGGGUAAGACCGCGUGGAGGACCGAACCCACCUGGGUUGAAAACCGGGGGGAUGACCUGGGGCUAGGGGUGAAAGGCCAAUCAAAUUCCGUGAUAGCUGGUUCUCUCCGAAAUGCAUUUAGGUGCAGCGUCGGUUGAUUGCAUCGCGGGGGUAGAGCUACUGGAUGCUUGCGGGCCCGUGUCGGGUACCAAUAGCAGCCAAACUCCGAAUACCGUGGAUGUGUAUUCCGGCAGUGAGUCGGCGGGGGAUAAGCUCCGUCGUCGAGAGGGAGACAGCCCAGAUCGUCGUCUAAGGUCCCGAAGCGUGUGCUAAGUGGGAAAGGAUGUGGAGUCGCAUAGACAGCCAGGAGGUUGGCUCAGAAGCAGCCAUCCUUUAAAGAGUGCGUAACAGCUCACUGGUCUAGUGGUUCCGCGCCGACAAUGUAGCGGGGCUCAAGCACACCACCGAAGACGCGGCAGCGGCCUUUGCGGCCGUUGGGUAGGAGAGCGUCCCGCGUGGGGCGAAGCGGCCGGGGAACCGUGCCGUGGACCGCGCGGGAGUGAGAAUGCAGACAUGAGUAGCGAGAGACGGGUGAGGAUCCCGUCCGCUGGAUGACCAAGGGUUCCGGGGCCACGUUCGUCGUCCCCGGGUGAGUCGGGUCCUAAGGCGAGGCCGACAGGCGUAGUCGAAUGGAUGAACGGGUGGAUAUUCCCGUACCGGCGGCGUACCGUAAGAGCCGAACGGAUGAGUACUAACCUCCGGUCGCGUGGCGUCGUUCCCUUCGGGGUUCGGGGCGCGUGGCUGUUGGGAGCGUAGUCCUGGUAGGCUAGCGCACAGGGGUGACACGGAAUGGGAGCCGGCCGCGGAGGUGGUUUUCCGUGGUCAAGCACGCAGCCCGUCCCAUAGGCAAAUCCGUGGGACGCAUAGGGUGAGGUGUGAUGAUGGGCGUCUUUUAUGGCGCGAUAUCCGGUGGUCCAGGCCGUCGAGAAAAGCCUCGGCGCGAGGGGCGUCGCCGCCCGUACCCCAAACCGACACAGGUGGUCAGGUAGAGAAUACCAAGGCGAUCGAGCGAAUCCUGGUCAAGGAACUCGGCAAAUCACUCCCGUGCCUUCGGUAUAAGGGAGACCCCCGGGCGUGAAGAGGCUUGCCCUCGGAGCGUUGGGGGGUGGCACAGACCAGGGGGUAGCGACUGUUUACCAAAAACACAGGUGCAUGCGAAGGCGCAAGCCGCUGUAUAUGCACUGACGCCUGCCCGGUGCCGGAAGGUUAAGAGGAUCCGUCAGCCCCUUUUGGGGUGAAGCGGUGAAUUCAAGCCCCGGUAAACGGCGGUGGUAACUAUAACCAUCCUAAGGUAGCGAAAUUCCUUGUCGGGUAAGUUCCGACCUGCACGAAUGGCGUAACGACUUCCCCACUGUCUCGACCAGGAGCUCGGCGAAAUUGCAGUACGAGUAAAGAUGCUCGUUAAGCGCAGAAGGACGAAAAGACCCCGGGACCUUUACUAU
Molecule: ribosomal RNA, 2246 nt
Filed under: human gut metagenome
Description: bacterial LSU rRNA
Rfam family: Bacterial large subunit ribosomal RNA
Source: RNAcentral